This 467-nucleotide ribosomal RNA is filed under the name uncultured bacterium. Its description in RNAcentral is "partial 16S ribosomal RNA". It matches the Rfam family "Bacterial small subunit ribosomal RNA", at positions 28 to 506 of the family's 1533-position model. The record is from RNAcentral.
GACGAACGCUGGCGGCGUGCUUAACACAUGCAAGUCGAACGGAAAGGCCCUGCUUUUGUGGGGUGCUCGAGUGGCGAACGGGUGAGUAACACGUGAGUAACCUGCCCUUGACUUUGGGAUAACUUCAGGAAACUGGGGCUAAUACCGGAUAGGAGCUCCUGCUGCAUGGUGGGGGUUGGAAAGUUUCGGCGGUUGGGGAUGGACUCGCGGCUUAUCAGCUUGUUGGUGGGGUAGUGGCUUACCAAGGCUUUGACGGGUAGCCGGCCUGAGAGGGUGACCGGCCACAUGGGGACUGAGAUACGGCCCAGACUCCUACGGGAGGCAGCAGUGGGGAAUAUUGCACAAGGGGCGGAAGCCUGAUGCAGCAACGCCGCGUGCGGGAUGACGGCCUUCGGGUUGUAAACCGCUUUCGCCUGUGACGAAGCGUGAGUGACGGGAAUGGGUAAAGAAGCACCGGCUAACUACGU